GCCUGGGUGGCUCAGUGGUUGAGUAUCUGCCUUUGACUCAGAGAAUGAUCCCAGGAUCUGGGAUCGAGUCCCACAUCGGGCU
Canis lupus familiaris (dog) is the source of this 82-nucleotide non-coding RNA. Lineage: Eukaryota; Metazoa; Chordata; Mammalia; Carnivora; Canidae. The record is from Rfam.